RNAcentral lists this long non-coding RNA (705 nucleotides) under Dermacentor andersoni. RNAcentral's name for it is "uncharacterized LOC126545190". The record is from RNAcentral. Lineage: Eukaryota; Metazoa; Arthropoda; Arachnida; Ixodida; Ixodidae.
GUAUACGAGCGACGACAAGCGCGGCUGUCCAGGUCGAGUCACUAUGCCUGCAGACAAGCGCCGUGAGAGGCCCCCCGCAUACUAUAAAAGUUCAAGUCUGCAAUGAAACCGGCGCCGUAAAGGGAGAAUGCACGUGCAAGGCCGGUCUCUCUGGUCAAUGCAAACAUUUGUUUGCCACUUUGAUAUAUUUGAACAGGACAAGUGCCACUUCCCUGGAUUCAUUGUCAUGCACGGAUGUGCAACAACAGUGGGGACGUGCCAGUGCCGCCAGCAUCUACAAACCAAGGCCAAUUAGUUUGUUUUGCCACGUCGAGCAGCUUCAACCAAUAAGUGUCCCUGAAGAUGUUCAAGCCCUGAUUAGGAAAGAACUUAUUGAUGCAGUACCAAAUUCUGCACUGGCAAAACAGAAAACUCGUGCGAGAAAGUCAAUCCCUUUCACUAGCAAUUUGAACAUAGUCCGCGCCAUCGACACAAUUUUCACACAAGGUUGCUACUUGAGAGAGCACACAAAAUUUUCAUUUUUUGAAUCGGUGCUAGAUGGUGAAAAAACAGUACCGAAAAGGUUUACUCUUGAACAUCUCAAUGAAAAUGAAAAGAGUUUCUAUCUUCAAAAUGUGUGCCUCUCCUAUGCCAAAGCUAGGGAAAUAUGCCGCGAGACAACUGAUCAGUCAUCCACUCUGUGGCACAGCGAAAGAAAAAAAAGAA